This 468-nucleotide ribosomal RNA is filed under the name uncultured bacterium. RNAcentral describes it as "partial 16S ribosomal RNA". It matches the Rfam family "Bacterial small subunit ribosomal RNA", at positions 28 to 507 of the family's 1533-position model. The record is from RNAcentral.
GACGAACGCUGGCGGCGUGCUUAACACAUGCAAGUCGAACGGAAAGGCCCUGCUUUUGUUGGGUGCUCGAGUGGCGAACGUGUGAGUAACACGUGAGUAACCUGCCCUUGACUUUGGGAUAACUUCAGGAAACUUGGGCUAAUACCGGAUAGGAGCUCCUGCUGCAUGGUGGGGGUUUGAAAGUUUCGGCGGUUGGGGAUGGACUCGCGGCUUAUCAGCUUGUUGGUGGGGUAGUGGCUUACCAAGGCUUUGACGGGUAGCCGGCCUGAGAGGGUGACCGGCCACAUUGGGACUGAGAUACGGCCCAGACUCCUACGGGAGGCAGCAGUGGGGAAUAUUGCACAAUGGGCGGAAGCCUGAUGCAGAAACGCCGCGUGCGGGAUGACGGCCUUCGGGUUGUAAACCGCUUUCGCCUGUGACGAAGCGUGAGUGACGGUAAUGGGUAAAGAAGCACCGGCUAACUACGUG